AACCGAGUCCUGUACGACCCUGCACUGUGAACCUUGUCAGAUGGGGAACCAAGCAGCAAUAAGCAGAACGCCGGGUGCGAUACAGAUCAACUCGGUUUGA
This 100-nucleotide signal recognition particle RNA is filed under the name Clostridia bacterium. RNAcentral describes it as "signal recognition particle sRNA small type". It matches the Rfam family "Bacterial small signal recognition particle RNA". Rfam says of the family: The signal recognition particle (SRP) is a universally conserved ribonucleoprotein involved in the co-translational targeting of proteins to membranes. Archaeal SRP consists of a 7S RNA and homologues of the eukaryotic SRP19 and SRP54 proteins. Lineage: Bacteria; Bacillati; Bacillota; Clostridia. The record is from RNAcentral.